UUACAAGAGGUCAAAACUUUCGACUCCAACCAGCUGGUUUCUAUCCAUUUUACUUUUCUCUUCUUUGUAGACAAAAUUAAAGCAUCUAGAUUCAAUCAAUUUUUUCACCUUAAUUAACUGAUUGGAUUCAAUAUUUCUUGGUUUUUCUAUCACCUUCUUGUGAAAAUUAUCUGGCUCUAUCCAUUUCCAGCAGGGAAUUUAUCCCUUAUAUAUAUAUAUACCCACCUCUCCCUUUCAUUUCCAGAUCCUCGAUCCCUUCGCACCAAUGACCACCGCUACUCUUACAGCCGCCCUCCUCGUCUUAUUCACUCUCCUCUACGUCUCUACAACCACCUUCGCCAUCGGAGUAAACUAUGGAACUCUAGCCAACAACCUGCCACCACCUUCCCAGGUGGCCAACUUCCUCAAAACACAAACAAUCAUAGACAGCAUCAAAAUCUUUGACACUAAUCCUGAUAUUCUUCGAGCUUUUGCCAACACUAACAUUUCCGUCACAGUCACCGUCGGUAAUGGUGAUAUUCCGGCUCUUUCCGACGAACGGGCUGCCCGCCGGUGGGUUGCUGACAACAUUAAACCAUAUUAUCCACAGACAAGGAUUAAUCGGAUUGCUGUCGGAAAUGAAAUCUUAAUGUCUGCAGUGCAGGAUUGGAUUGCUCAUCUUGUGCCUUGCAUGAAAGCCCUCCACCAUGCUCUUGUUCUUGCUGGAAUCAAGGAUGUGAAGGUCUCGACACCUCACACCCUCGGAAUCCUUUACAAUUCUGUACCACCAAGUGCUGCUCGGAUAAGGCCUGGUUACCAGAAAUCCAUAUUUGCACCCAUGCUUGCGUUUCUACGUGAAACCAAAUCGCCUCUCAUGGUUAAUCCAUACCCUUAUUUUAGCUACGCUCCAAAAGUGGCAAAAUACAUUCUUUUCCAGCCAAACCGUGGCAUCCAUGACAGAUUCACCGGCAUCACCUAUUCUAACAUGUUUGAUGCGAUGAUGGAUGCCGUUUACUCUGCGAUUAAAGCAAUGGGCUAUCCUGAUGUGGACAUCUUGGUAGCUGAGACCGGUUGGCCCUCCGCCGGUGACCCGAACCAGCCGGCUUGUACGGUGGAGAAUGCGAUUGCGUAUAAUGGGAAUUUGAUCAAGCAUGUCACUUCAGGGAAAGGUACUCCGUUGAUGCCAAACCGGAGGUUCGAGACGUAUCUUUUUGCCUUAUUUAAUGAGAAUCUGAAGCCUGGAACUUCUGCCGAGAGGAAUUGGGGUUUGUUCAGGCCAGAUUUUAGCCCUGUUUACAAUGUUGGGAUCUUGCGCAAUGAACAGACCAAUGCACCAAAUCCAAAACCAACACCAAUACCAACUCCAGCAGGGAAGAAAUGGUGUGUGCCAAAACCACAAGCUAAUGAUCAACAAUUGCAAGCAAACAUAGACUACAUAUGCAGCCAAGGUGUAGAUUGCAAGCCCAUCCAAGCUGGUGGUGUCUGCUUUGAUCCAAACAAUGUCAGGUCCCAUGCAUCAUUUGUUAUGAACUCCUUCUAUCAGACCCAUGGCCGGAAUGAUUUCAACUGUGAUUUCUCUCAAACCGGUGUCCUCACCACAGCUGACCCAAGUCACGGGACAUGUAAAUACAUUUGAGAUAAUGAGAUUAAGUUUAGGUCUUCAAUGCCUGUUGGGAGGAGCGAUGCCCUUAUAACCAAAAUCAGAGGAAAUUUAGGCAUUUAAUUUAUCUGUUCAUUCUUUUUGUUUCGAGUUAUUAUACAUGCAAUCAAGGCUGCAGUAUUGUAAUUGCCCUGCUAAAGCUGCAAUUCUUACCCCAAGAAAAAGCAUUGUUGCCUAAACGCAUAUUGACAUGAAUAAUUUACACAGAAUUAUAGAUUCUUCAUUGAUGGCUUUAACAAUUGUAAUUCAAUAUUACUACUCUGAAUUUUCAUCUGCAUCAAAUUUUAUAACUGAAUGUUUAAUUCCAUAGGAACAAGUUAUAAAUGUAU
Molecule: unclassified non-coding RNA, 1968 nt
Filed under: Hevea brasiliensis (rubber tree)
Lineage: Eukaryota; Viridiplantae; Streptophyta; Magnoliopsida; Malpighiales; Euphorbiaceae
Source: RNAcentral